CUUGUGUGCUGUUUGCUGGUGAAGUCCAAGUGUGCUGAACCAUCUACUAAAGGUUGUAACAUGGUAAUUAUUGUUAUAAGUGGUUUCACUUUUAAACUGUAAAAUCAGAGAGCCGAAAAUGAAAUCCUAGCUGAACAUUACUGCAGACAUAUACAGAUGUAAUACUGCCAGGACAUUAAUCCCCUUCCCAACCUCGGACGUACCAGGUACUUCCAACAAAAAAAGGUCGUUAACAACCAUAUUAAUAUACACUUAGAAUAACAUUUAUAUAUAUGUGUUAUUCUAAGUGUAUAAAGUCUAUAUAAAUAGAGGCAAAAAUACAUAUAUGCACAAAUACGCAAACAUACAGACGUUAAUUUUAUUUAUAUAUAUAUAUAUAUAAUAAAAAUAAUCAAUAAAUACAUUGAAAAAUAUAAAUAAAAAUAAAUAAUAAAAUGUAAUUUAAAAAAAUGAUAUACUGGUUUAAAUUUGUACUAACUGUAUUUUGAUAUUAACGCACAUAUAUAUUUAAAUCAAAAUACCUUUAGAAUGACGUUAUAAAUACAUAUCCCCUUAACAACCGUGGACGUACUAGGUACGUCCGACAAAAAACGGUCGUUAAGGACUAGGUACGUCCUCCACAAAUAGGGGCCCUGGAUUUACCUGGACCGGUGAUCACGUUUGGGAGGGACUGCCAGAGACCCCAGCAGUCCCCCUGCAGCAGCUCCAGCCACCCUGGCCCUGCAGGGCCAUGUGAUCACCAUGAUUACAUCGCCACAAUAGGAGUCUAGGGAGCUGCCAGCAGGGGGACUGUCUGAGCUAUCAGGCAGUACCCCAGGCUGCUAAAAAGGAAAAAAAUAAUUAAUAAAUAAAUAUAUUAUAUAUAUAUAUAAAUACAUUAUGUAUAUGAGUGUUUAAAACAGUAAAACAUAUCCCGACGAUGAAAUCACCAGUAAAAGUGCAGUUUGUGUGUAAAUAAAAUAAAAAAACAAAUAUGAACGCAAAAUUUGGCCGCGUUUGUGGCUUACCCUGUACGUUUUCAAAAACCCAUAAGACCUGUACAUUGGGGGCACUGUUGUACUCAAGAGAUGUUACUGAACACAUAUUGGGGUGUUCUUUGUCAGUAACACAUAACAGGAACUGAGAAUGCAUGCCUAAAGUACAAUGUGUGUGAAAAAUAACACAAAAAAAUGACUACCCAAAAGUGUGACAUAGACUGGUGGUAGAAUUAGUGCAUGGAAAGUGUUAAAAUACCACCAUUUGAAAUACCCUAGGGUUUCUACGUUUCAAAAAUAUAUGGUUUGAUGGGGGUAAAUUACAUUAGACGGCUUCAAAAAUGUCCUACACCCAGGGCCAGAUUAAGAGCCCAGUGGGCCUGGUGCUGACAAUUAUGACGGGCCUAAUUACAGAAUCAUAUCGACCAAAAACAGUAAAACACUCCCAAGCGUCAUGUAUCCGAUGGAGAUGGUGCUGGAGAGAAAGAAAACAGCAGCUAUAAGAAAACACAUACCCUAGGCUAAUCUCCCUCUAAUUUAUGUUUUCAUCUUUCAAGUAAAUCCAUAACCCCUAACAGCAGUGUCCAGUCAAGCAGGAAGUCAAUGAGCAUGGUAAAAGGGUGUGCCACUGACACAAAUCACGUAACCUGCCAAAAGGGGCGGACAUGCCCAAAAAGAGGAUAUGUCUGCCCAAAGAAUUAGAAGACCAGCCUGGUAUGAAUGCAUGUCAGGCUGCCUGCCAAUCAUGCAGCUGGCCAACUAAGGGCAUACUAUGCAGACAACACCCUGAGCUUGGCAUAAAUGUAUCUAAUGAUGCGCUCGCUCAAUGCUUUCUAAGGACUGUCCCUUAGUACUCGCUGGUCCACUUGUCUUCUUACCAGCAGGCAGAAGCUCCUGGUAUACAGUCUGGGACAGAGAAAAGCUGUAUGUAGUGAGUGUAGAAGAAAGGGAACAUGCCACAGUGUUAGAGAGACCAAAGUCAGCAUUACCUUAAAGGAUCAAUAUAGGGUCAGGAACACAAACAUGAAUUCAUGACCCUAUAGUGUUAUUCUAUAGCCUCGAUAAAUAUAGCAAAAUGUAACUCUGCAUGCUGUUAGACUCAGAAAAACAAGCAGUCUGCUGACAUCAUUAGAAGUGGUCGCCUAAUCCAAUCACAGUGCUUCCCCAUAGGAUUGGCUGAGACUGACAAAGAGGCAGAUCAGGGGCAGAGCCAGCAUGAUUCAAACACAGCCGUGGCCAAUCAGCAUCUCCUCAUAGAGAUGAAUUGAAUCAAUGAAUCUCUAUGAGGAAAGUUCAGUGUCUGCAUGCAGAGGGAGGAGAUACUGAAUGUUUGGAUGCAUUUUAGGCAGCCAUGACCCAGGAAGGAUCUCUAACAGCCAUCUGAGGAGUGGCCAGUGAAGUUAUCACUAGGCUGUAAUGUAAACACUGCAUUUUCUCUGAAAAGACAGUGUUUACAGCAAAAAGCCUGAAGGUAAUGAUUCUACUCACCAGAACAAAUUCAAUAAGCUGUAGUUGUUCUGGUGACUCUAGUGUCCCUUUAACUAUAUUCAUUGUCAGCCAGUCCACACAAGUUUUGUUCCCAUACAUCCCUCUUAAGUUUCCAUACUUAAGUAAGAGUAUGUGAAAAGUAGUUAGGGUUGCCACCUUUCUUGGAAAAACAUACCGGCCUUGCUAAUUUGCAUAAUUAAAUAUGUAUGGGUGACAUCACAUGAUGUUAAUCACAAGGAGUGGCAUAAGAGAAAAUGCUGUAAAAUCAUCAAAAAACUACUUAGUUUGAUUCUGCUGUAUAGGUGGCCCCAUGUCUCCCAGUGCCCCCAUGUGUCGAUUACUCCAGGUCUCAGUGUUCCUAUGUAUCAGUGUCUCAGUGCCCCAUGUCUCCCAGUGUCCCGUAGUGUCGUGUCCCCAGGUCUCCCAGUGAUCCUAUGUAUCACAGUAUCUCAAUGCCGCAUGUCUCCCUGUGUCCCCAUGUAUCCCAGGGUCCCCAUGUCACUAGGAAGACGGGAAGACCUGGGGACACGGGGAGACCUAGAGACACGGAGACACCAGUGACACUGGGAGACUAGGGGACUCUGGCUGGGACGCAUGGGGACACUGGGAAAAUAGGGGACACUUGACAUGGGGACACAGACACCAUGGACACAGACACUAGAGACACUGGCUGGGGGACAUGGGGGCACUGGGAGACAUGGGGACAAGGAGACACCAGGGCCACAGACACUAGGGACACUAGCUUGGAGACAUGGGGACAUUGAGGCACUGGGAGACAUGGAGGCACUAGGAGACAUGGGGACAGUGAGGCACUGGCAGACUCUGGGCACUGGGAGACUAGGGGGCACUGAGACACCAGGGACACUGGCUGGGAGACAUGGGGACACUGUGUCCCCAUGUGUCUGUGUCAUAAUGUCUCCCAAUUUCCCUUAGUGUCUCAGUGUCCCCAUGUCUCCUUGCAGCCUUCCCCCCCCCCCAUUCCUUACUUCCCUGAGCUGUAGGCUGUCUCUGCAGGGUGGGAGUUGCUGUCUGGACUCUCUGUAGCUGCACCCCUGCAGAUCAGUGAGUAUAGAUAGGCAGGGAGGGAUAUGCUGGAACUUCCUAUCCCUGCCUGUCUCCACACACAGUGACCCCUACUGGCCAGUGCUGGUAUUGCAUAGUAAUCUCUUGUUUAUACUGAGAAAAAUACCAGCAUUUGUAUUGCCAGUAUCACUGUAAUAUUUGCACCAGCCAGGCAGCCUCAAAUACUGGCUGUGCCAAUAAAAUAAAAGCCAGGUGGAAUUCCUAAGAGUAGUGUGUGAAAAAAAAAAAUGUAAAAAAAAAAAAAUUUUUUUUUUUUAUAUAAAUCAAUGGGCCUAUUCCAUGGGCCUGGGCCUGGAGCUGCAGCUCCAUCAGCCCCUAUGUUAAUCCGGCCCUGCCUACACCCAACAUGGGUACAUGAUGACCAGCUGUGAAAAUUCCAAGUAGGAAAACUGGAAUGCGCACCCUUCAAAUAAGGUCUUUUGGCCCCCAUAGAACCCAACACACCUAUACAUGGGGGGUAUCACUGUACUCAGGAGAUGAUGCUGAACACAUAUUGGGGUGUUCUUUGGCAAUAACCCUUAAUGUUCUCAGUACAAGUAUCCUUAAAUUGCAAUGUGUGCCAAAAAAUCACCAAUUAUUUAAUUUAUUUUUUUAUAAUUUGGCAUAGAUUGGUCAUAAAAUGGUUGUAUGAAAAGAGCAUAAAAGAGCAUGAAAAGAGUCAAAAUACCCCAAAUGUAAUACCUUAGGUUCUCUUCUUUUUAAAAAAUAUAUACAUGUGAUGGGUUAUUCAGGGAUUCCUGACAGAUAUCAGUGUUACAUUUUGAAGAAAAAAAAUGGUUUGGAAAUAGCAACGUGCUACUUGUACUUAUAGCCCUAUAACUUGCAAAAAAAGCUAAGAACGUGUUAACAUUGGGUAUUGCUAAACUCAGGACAAAAUUUAGAAACUAUUUAGAACAGGUGUUUUUUAAUUUUUUCAUCAUAUUUUAUAAUUUAUAAUAUUUUUUAUAGUAAAUUAUAUGAUAUGAUGAAAAUAAUGGUAUCUUUAGAAAGACAAUUUAAUGUCGAGAAAAACGGUAUAUAAUAUGCAUGGGUACAGUAAAUGAGUAAGAGGAAAAAUUACAGCUAAACACUUGGUCCCAAACGGUAAGAAAACCAAAAAGCGUUCUGGUCACUAAGGGCUUAUACUUACAAGGUAGGUGAGUGAGUUAACUCAGUAUUGGCAGAACUCACUCGCUCAAAGCUGAGAGAAUUACAUUUCUAAACAAAAAUUCUGUCAGUAAAGUGUUGCCAAGCAGGAGUAUCAGGAACAAAUGAGCAAUUCUAGACUUGAAAAGGAAACGAAUGAAAACACAAAGUAUUAAAGAAAAUAAUCUAUGCAAGCUGGAAUUUAUACAAUUUCUAUAUGCUGCUGUCUGCCAAUAUUUGAGUGUCUUUAUGUUGGUCAUUUUCUGAGUCGGUAGUUAUAUUUCUAGCAGUGUUACAUGAUGAGAGGACAAUGAAUACAUUCUGAAUAUGUCUCCUGUAUGCAGCAUUCCUGUCCUUUUAUAAAAUUACAUUAUUGUUAACAGGGAGCAGGAAGCCUUUCAGGAAAGCAGCAGCUCAUCUCUCUGGUUGUAUGUUUUACAUUCUAAGCACCAAACUGUUUUAUUUAAUAGCCCUCCAUUGAUCUGACAUUGGACAUUGCAUCCCUCCAUUCCCUUUAGAUUAAACCUGAAAUCUCCAGAGUCAGCACUGAACUGAGCAUUUCUUUAGUGAUUUCACAUUAAGCCCAUAUGCUCUCCUUAGACUUAGUUGUGAACCCAGCCUCUCCAGAGUCAGCACUGAACUGAGCAUUUCUUUAGUGAUUUCACAUUAAGCCCAUAUGCUCUCCUUAGACUUAGUUGUGAACCCAGCCUCCCAUCGUUGACUUAACCAUAAACCCAACAGUCCUCCGUAGGAUUGGCCCUGACCCUAACAGCCGUGCAUUGAUUUAUCAUAUCUCCACAGGAUAAAAGGUCCAUUUUCUCACAACUUCAGCAGAGAAGUUGGUUCCUUAUGUGAAGACAGAAGAUCCCACAGAGAGCGAGGCAAGAAGCAAGAAAUGUCUUGUAGCAUCGUAUAACAUUGCAGACGGUCAUUAUUUUCAGCUAAGCAGAUGCACUCUCAGUUGAGUUUUUCUAUAUAACAUUAUCU
Molecule: non-coding RNA, 5657 nt
Organism: Pelobates cultripes (western spadefoot toad)
Lineage: Eukaryota; Metazoa; Chordata; Amphibia; Anura; Pelobatidae
Source: the annotation of a GenBank genome assembly